This 5419-nucleotide long non-coding RNA is filed under the name Malus domestica (apple). RNAcentral's name for it is "long non-coding RNA (MDOM_LNC002372)". The record is from RNAcentral. Lineage: Eukaryota; Viridiplantae; Streptophyta; Magnoliopsida; Rosales; Rosaceae.
UGCCACUGAAGCUCAAGGGAAAAUUUUAUAGGACGGCAAUAAGGCCGGCGAUGCUGUAUGGCACAAAAUGUUGGGCGGUGAAACAUCAACACGUACACAAAAUGGGUGUAGCGGAGAUGAGGAUGCUUCGUUGGAUGUGUGGGCACACGAGAAAGGAUAAGAUUAGGAAUGAGUAUAUCCGGGGUAAAGUAGGAGUAGCCGAAAUUGAAGGAAAGAUGAGAGAAAAUCGGUUACGGUGGUUUGGACAUGUGCAAAGAAGGCCUACUGACGCUCCGAUUAGAAGAUGCGACUACGGGACAGAGGUUCAGGGCCGAAGGGGUAGAGGAAGACCUAGGAAAACUUUGGAAGAGACUCUAAGAAAAAAGACUUAGAGUACUUGGAUCUAACGAAGGACAUGACACACAUGAUCGAGCACAAUGGCGUUCUAAGAUUCAUAUAGCCGAUCCCACUCAGUGACUUGGAUUUUCCAAGUCUCCAACCGAGAAGUUUUCCUCACUCGGAAAAUUAAGGGAACACUACCCCAACCUACAUGCUCCACUCAGAAAGCUUCAACAUACAAGCUUCAACAAAAGAAAAUUCAAAGAACUUAGCGAAGAAGGUUUUGGUGUAUUUAACACAAUACGUUGAAAUGAAGGAAAGCUUAUUUAUUGAUAUCCCCGAUAAGCUACAAAUAUGAACAUAUACAUGAGUCAAAAUAAACACACAAGAGGGAGCCUUCACAAAGGUUGCUUAGGAGAAGUCUCAGCAGUCGGUAGAGCCCCAGAAAGAGAAGGCACCGGAGGGGGAUCAUUUGGAGCCUCAGUACUGGACAGAACCCUAGAAGGAGGAGGCAUCAGAGGUUGAUCAUUUGGAGCUUCAUUACGUGGUACAGCCCCAGAAGACGAAGGCAAUAAAUGCCUUUGGAACAAACCCACAAAUCUCUGAUGAUCAAGUAAAACCUGACCAUCAGUUUCCUUCAUCUGGUCAAGCUUCCUCUUCAUGUUUGUAGCAUAGUCAUGUGCGAGCCGGUGCAACUAUUUAUUCUCCUGUUUGAGACAUCUAAUCUCCUGUUUGAGACUCAUCACUUCAGCCGCCAAUGAUUCAACUUGGCGGGUUCGAGCAAAUAGGCGUUGGGCCAUAUUAGACACAGAACCUGCACACUGAACACUGAGAGCCAGCGAAUCCUUAACAGCUAACUCAUCAGACCGUUUGGAAAGUAGUCUGUUAUCUUUGGGAGUGAGAAGGUUCCUGGCCACCACAGCAGCGGUCAUAUCAUUCUUCAUCACGGAAUCCCCAACGGUAAGAGGACCAGUAGGGGAGACGAAGGAUGGGCGCCAUAUGUUGUCUGGAGAAGGCGGGGCUGCCUCUUCAACAAGGUUCAAGUCAAAACGACGGUCGGAGGGGCCAGACAUUUUCAAAGGUGUUGAAGAGAGAAGAGGUCGGACAAAUCAAAAUCUUAGAAGUGCAAGAAUGAAGCUUCUACUGGUGGAGAUUCAAGUGUGCUUUGGAACUUAAUGCCAGCCCCUAUAAAAAUCUGCACUCGACGGAGCUUCAGAAAUCGAAGAGGCGCCUGCUUAGAAAUAGAAGAGGCGUUUGCUUUCUCAAAAGCUGGGCUGCUUAGAGAUCACGAGGGUUGAUCUCAGAAAUCGAAGAGGCGUUUGCUUUCUCAAAAGUUGGGCUGCUCAAAGACCACGAAGGCUGAUCUCAGAAAUCGAAGAGGUGCUCGCUUUCUCAAAAGCUGGGCUCCCCAGAGACCACGAGGGCCGAUCUCAGAAAUUGAAGAGGCACCUACUUUUCCAGCCUUGUCAGCACCUGUCACACGCACACUCAGCUUUGCGGAAAUUAUGGGCAUUCUGUCGAAGACUUCUGGGGAAGUAGAAAACACAUGAAUCUUACUGUUCAAUCACCCACUUCCCACACGCAACAAUAGCUCAUGGGUACCACAGAAAACUUUGCCAAAGUUCUCUGCCAAAGUUGAGCACGUGAAGCUUGUAGCUCCCACUACAUCGCUCUGACCAAGAAGGGUAAAAGAAUAGCAAAGAAACAACACUAACAAAGUUUAGACCCAUAAAUUUUGAAGGUCUAGCUACCAUAUUAUUACCCACAAGGGUAAAGGAACAGUACCACUGCUGGAUAAUUGGAAAGUCCCUGUGUGUCAACCUCUGUGCUUCGUGGCAAGGUAGACUAACAAACAUGCCCAACCUUUACUCACAUUCGAGAAAACACUCCCAAUAAGAUUGCUUGCUCCAAAAGCCAGACUCCCAACAUGACUACUUUCUUAAAAAUCGAAGAGAGGGUAAAGGAACAGCACCAUUGCUGGAUAAUUGGAAAGUCCCUGUGUGUCAACCUCUGUGCUUCGUGGCAAGGUAGACUAGCAAACAUGCCCAACCUUUACUCACAUUCGAGAAAACACUCCCAACAAGAUUGCUUGCUCCAAAAUCGAAGAGGCACCGCCCUCCGAAUCUCGAGAGCUAGACUCCCAACAUGAUUACUUUCUCAAAAAUCGAAGAGACACUGCUCCCCGAAUCUUCGAGAGCCAGACCCCCAGCAUGAUUGCUUUCUCAAAAAUCGAUGAGGCAUCGUUCUUCGAAUCAAUCGAAGAGGCGCUCACUUUCUCAAAAGUUGGGCUGCUCAGAGACCACGAGGGCCGAUCUCAGAAAUCGAAGAGGCACCUACUUUUCUAGCCUUGUCAGCACCUGUCACACGCACACUCAGCUUUGCAGAAAUUAUGGGCAUUCUGUCGAAGACUUCUGGUGAAGUAGAAAGCACAUGAAUCUUACUGUUCAAGCACCCACUUCCCACACGCAACAAUAGCUCAUGGGUACCACAGAUAACUUUGCCAAAGUUCUCUGCCAAAGUUGAGCACGUGAAGCUUGCAGCUCCCACUACAUCGCUCUGACCAAGAAAGGUAAAAGAAUAGCAAAGAAACAGCACUAACAAAGUUUAGACACAUAAAUUUUGAAGCUCUAGCUACCAUAUUAUUACCCACAAGGGUAAAGGAACAGUACCACUGCUGGAUAAUUGGAAAGUCCCUGUGUGUCAACCUCUGUGCUUCGUGGCAAGAUAGACUAGCAAACAUGCCCAACCUUUACUCACAUUCGAGAAAACACUCCCAACAAGAUUGCUUGCUCCAAAAUCGAAGAGGCACCGUCCUCCGAAUCUCGAGAGCCAGACUCCCAACAUGACUACUUUCUCAAAAUCGAAGAGAGGGUAAAGGAACAGUACCAUUGCUGGAUAAUUGGAAAGUCCCUGUGUGUCAACCUUUGUGCUUCGUGGCAAGGUAGACUAGCAAACAUGCCCAACCUUUACUCACAUUCGAGACAACACUCCCAACAAGAUUGCUUGCUCCAAAAUCGAAGAGACACCGCCCUCCGAAUCUCGAGAGCCAGACUCCCGACAUGAUUACUUCCUCAAAAAUCGAAGAGACACUGCUCUCCGAAUCUCGAGAGCCAGACCCCCAACAUGAUUGCUUUCUCAAAAAUCGAAGAGGCAUCGUUCUCCGAAUCUCGAGAGCCAGAUACCACAGACCACUUUUUCAAAGUGCUCUGACAGAGUUAAAACAUGUGAAACUGGCAGCUCCCACUACCGUGCUAUGACCAAGCAGGGUAAAGGAAUAGCAUUACUAAUUGUUAGGGAGACUCCUAUAUAUGUCGACCUCCAUCCCCAACGAACAGGCAUACCUGCAAAAAUGCUCAACCCUUCAUCAUAUCUGAGAGGGCACUCCCAACGAAACCUUUCGAAAUAUUCAGCUUUCUUUCCCCCCGAUAAUACCUCUGCAAACAAGCUAUACUAGAGCAAGAAUAUCUCAUAUCAUCAGGGUUAAAAGAAAGAGUAUCCCAUAUCAUGAUUUUUCCCUGUCUUUUCCUUUGGCCUUGUUUUUACCUGCAAGACAAGGAGAAAGAGAGCAAUCAGUCAGCACUUGAAAUCAAGCUUCCAGCCAGGAACUGACUGCCUGGAACCGCUUACCUGAUUACUUACCUGACAUUGCUCUCGAGUACUCAUCUUCAACAUCUUAUGUUUCCAGGGAAGAUUCCGCAUCUGCUUGAGGAACAGAUAGGGCAAGUGCGAAGGAUACAAGGAAGCAUGUGGAGACAAGCGUAACAGCACACGUGCCGAUACAUCCAUUACUCUGUCAAAAGCAAAAGUAUCCCAUAUCAGCAGGGUGGAACGUACUCUAGAUUUGAUGGACUUGUUUUUGACCCUCAAAUUCUUCAGUCGGCCUUAUACUCUGGAGGAAACCAGAAAACCCUCCAGCUCAGUUCAAGAAUAAGCCUGUGGAAAGUUACUUCUUCAAAAGCAAAAGUAUCUCAUAUCAUCCCUUCUCAUUUUUCUUCUCUUUAUCCUUCAUGAUGCUGCAAGAUGGGGAGAAGGUGAACAAUCAGUCGGAGCUUUGAUUGCUUACCUUGUCUGUCACCUCUUUCAGCAGACCCCCUAGCUCGGCGACUUGGGGGACUCCUACUACAUGGUUUGUAUCGCGCUUGACCAAGCCUGAAACUACAAGUAAGCUUCAAGUGAAAUUGAUACAUUACCUUGUGCAUCUCCACCAGUUAAAGAUACCACCCCUGGAUGGAGGAAGAGUACUUCCAGAGAAGAUGCCACAUCUACCUAUGAGACAGAUAAGGCAAGUCAAGACGAAACCACACUCCGAUACUUAGAAGUUUUGUGAUUACGAGAUCAUUCUCCCACAAUAUUUCCUAAUGUCAUUUGUACUAAAUCAUUCACUUGUACUCACUAAAGGAGAGCUUGAACCUAUGUACUUGUGUAAACCCUUCACAAUUAAUGAGAACUCUUCUAUUCCGUGGACGUAGCUAAUCUGGGUGAACCACGUACAUCUUGUGUUUGCUUUCCUAUCUCUAUCCAUUUAUAUACUUAUCCACACUAAUGACCGGAGCAAUCUAGCGAAGAUCACAAAAAGCGACCGUUUUUGCUACCUAGGAUCUAUCUUGCAAGAGAACGGAGAAUUAGAUGGAGAUCUCAACCAUAGAAUACGAGCUGGAUGGAUGAAGUGUAAGAAUGCAUCCGGCGUGUUGUGUGACCGUCGUAGGCCACUGAAGCUCAAGGGAAAAUUUUAUAGGACGGCAAUAAGGCCAGCGAUGUUGUAUGGCACAGAAUGUUGGGCGGUGAAGCAUCAACACGUACACAAAAUGGGUGUAGCGGAGAUGAGGAUGCUUCGUGGGAUGUGUGGGCACACGAGAAAGGAUAACAUUGGGAAUGAGGAUAUCCGAGGUAAAGUAGGAGUAGCCGAAAUUGAAGGAAAGAUGAGAGAAAAUCGGCUCCGGUGAUUUGGACAUGUGCAAAGAAGGCCGAAUGACGCUCCGGUUCGAAGAUGUGACUACGGGACAGAGGUUCAGGGCCGAAGGGGUAGAGGAAGACCUAGGAAAACUUUGGAAGAGACUCUAAGAAAAGACUUAGAGUACUUGGAUCUAACGAAGGACAUGAC